GACGAACGCUGGCGGCGUGCUUAACACAUGCAAGUCGAACGGAAAGGCCCUGCUUUUGUGGGGUGCUCGAGUGGCGAACGGGUGAGUAACACGUGAGUAACCUGCCCUUGACUUUGGGAUAACUUCAGGAAACUGGGGCUAAUACCGGAUAGGAGCUCCUGCUGCAUGGUGGGGGUUGGAAAGUUUCGGCGGUUGGGGAUGGACUCGCGGCUUAUCAGCUUGUUGGUGGGGUAGUGGCUUACCAAGGCUUUGACGGGUAGCCGGCCUGAGAGGGUGACCGGCGACAUUGGGACUGAGAGACGGCCCAGACUCCUACGGGAGGCAGCAGUGGGGAAUAUUGCAGAAUGGGCGGAAGCCUGAUGCAGCAACGCCGCGUGCGGGAUGACGGCCUUCGGGUUGUAAACCGCUUUCGCCUGUGACGAAGCGUGAGUGACGGUAAUGGGUAAAGAAGCACCGGCUAACUACGUG
This 468-nucleotide ribosomal RNA is filed under the name uncultured bacterium. Its description in RNAcentral is "partial 16S ribosomal RNA". It matches the Rfam family "Bacterial small subunit ribosomal RNA", at positions 28 to 507 of the family's 1533-position model. The record is from RNAcentral.